RNAcentral lists this long non-coding RNA (906 nucleotides) under Phaseolus vulgaris (common bean). RNAcentral describes it as "long non-coding RNA (PVUL_LNC001073)". The record is from RNAcentral. Lineage: Eukaryota; Viridiplantae; Streptophyta; Magnoliopsida; Fabales; Fabaceae.
ACGAUACGGUUUAGGCGUCGUACGAUACGAAUCGUACAAAGAAUCGUUUUCGCUCCCGUAUCGCAACUGUAUCGUGCGAAUCGGAAGACGAAUCGGAGAAUCGUUUCGUUUCGUAUAAUAAAUUGGAAUUUGAAAACCCUAAUUUUAAAAUUUUACCUCGCGAACCUCUUCUCCUCUCUCCUCCGACAGCAACGACCAUCAGACUCGUGACAGUAGGAGGUGCGGCGCCAGACAACAAUAGCAACAACUUUGUGGAAUUGUGCAAUUGCUGAGGCGCACUGCUGGACGAAGGCGCUCGACUAGAUGCGCGGUGGUCGUUGGAGGUGCGUGACUGUAAGCACGGUGAAGAGAGUAGAAAACAGAGAGUGAAGCAGAAAACAGGGAGUGAUUAACUGCUGUCUUGGGAUUUUUUCUAUUAUCUUGGAUUUUUAAAAAUAAGGAAAACAAAAAGAAAGGCAAAUGUUACAUAAGUGUACAUGAUUGUUUUGAUGUUGAAGAGAGAGCUCUGAGUAAAAAAAGAAGAGAGGUAAUUAUUUUUAUUUAGAACUUCUUCAACUUACAACUGGAAAACUUUAACAAACUAAACUAAUUAAAUUUAUUUGUUUUUCUUUUGCUAAUAUAGGUUCUAGAAAUUUAAAUACCAAGAUCAAUAAAAAUGAAAAAUUCACAGAAGAUGAGGAAGACAUUGAAGAAGAACUUUUAAUAGAAGAUGAAGAUGACUUGAGUGAUGUAGAUGUUGGAGAAGAAGAUGAUGAAAUAUGAAUGACUAUGAUAAUUGCACCUUUGCAUGUUUACAUAUCUUAUAUAUUUAAUUAUAUGUUACAAUUUUAAUGUUUAUGAAUCUUACGAUUCAUGAUACGAAACGAUUCACGAUUCAGAAAAUCAACUCUCCGAUACACUACUUGU